This 242-nucleotide long non-coding RNA is filed under the name Prunus persica (peach). Its description in RNAcentral is "long non-coding RNA (PPER_LNC002098)". Lineage: Eukaryota; Viridiplantae; Streptophyta; Magnoliopsida; Rosales; Rosaceae. The record is from RNAcentral.
CCAGAUAUGCUAUAAUGUUCCCUUGGUGGCAACAAAAAAACUCAUGUGUGCAAUGUUUGACACGAAGUACAUAAUAUGCAUUUAGCCGUCAUGUAAUGCAAUUGAACAUGAUAUAAUGCAAAAGCAAAGUUCCUGUAUGCAAAACGGGAUAAGUACAUGCAAUUGCACUACCUUAACCAUCAACCCUACGUGCAUGCAGUUGCACUAAAAGUAAUUACAUUUCAGUGUUUGGGGCUUUCCGG